This 1677-nucleotide unclassified non-coding RNA is filed under the name Hevea brasiliensis (rubber tree). The record is from RNAcentral. Lineage: Eukaryota; Viridiplantae; Streptophyta; Magnoliopsida; Malpighiales; Euphorbiaceae.
GGAAUAUCAACUGGCGCGUAUACAACAAGCGCCCCAGCCGCGUCUAUGCAAGUCUCCUGAAGUAUCAACAUGCUGCUCUGAUUCGCGUUCAUAGCACUAGCACGAAGGAGAGAGACGCAGUUGCCAUGAUCUUGGCCUUUGGCAAUAUGAGCCAUUUCUUGCAUAGGGCCACCGUUGGAUAGGAUAUCCCAUUCGCUACGGAGGCGUUCGUCACGGAGGAAAUCAAAGAGUCUUUGAGGGGAAACGGGCAACCAAACGGAAGUAGCAGCGCUUAAGACGAUCCCUGCUGGUUCACCAGGGUCAUCGACGCUCUUUCGAGUCAUGACACGUACAUCUUCAUCAACAUUACCUGCACAAAGUUUGUUCCACUUGUGUACCGUUGAAGCACAAACACCAGCACAAAAGUUGUUUGUCAUGCGUUGUGCUAGCUUCAACAUGCUACGCCUCCCACUUGGAGUUAUUGCUGUAUGAUCCCUGGCAGACACGGUGGAUGACAUGAGAAUUGCAAGACACUCACACUGGCGUUGGAGGGUUGCAACCCAUCUUUGUGCGCCAAACCCCAUACCCGCGCUAAUUAACUGCCGGUAAAGAUGGUGAUUUGCACCCUCUUCAUAUUCGGCAUGUUCUACCCAUGUAACUUUGCUGUAGCCAUUGGGCAUAUCUUGAACAACACAGCCAGAAGGAAGCCUUCUGCUAUUUGGAAACGUUGGUGCACCAGAAGUUUCACGGAUGGUAUCAAUCGAUACAUCAACGACAGCCCAGACACCUUCAGCAUGUUGUUUGCAGAAACGCAGGAAAUUGACCUCUCUAAUUGGUACUAAUGGUGAAAGCACUUGGAGUUCAGCAUGCAUCAGCUGAAGUGCACCAUUUCUGGUUCCACCCAUACCACUUGAUAUAACAUCUGUUGUUGAGGUUCUAGCAAUCAAACAUGGAAACAUUUCUGCCCAUUUGUUAGAGUCCAUUAAUGUCUCAACAAGAGCUAAACUAUUGAUUAUAACCAUGCCUGUCUCCCUGGAAGCCUCUGAAAUAAAACUGUUUGGUCUCAUACCAAUGCAAGGAGUAAAUGUCCUUAUGUACUCUUCAUGGUUAAGUAUUUCUCUACCACCUUCAAUGCUCCUGAACCAAAGAGGUUCAUCAGUUUGUGCCAUUUUUACCAAUUCCUCCAUGGCAGCCAAAGCAAGUUCAAGAUACAUGGAUCUUUCAAGUGAUCUCUCAAUUCCAGUUGACUGUCUAGUUGAAGGCACAACUGGUAAAGAAUUUGAAAUCCCAACACCGAAAUCAGGAGGUGCUAAGGGGAGUGUUGUUGGUACAUUACUCAUACCACCAAAUCCAUUACUUCCAACUCCAAGUUCCAAACUUGAAUUAGGCAUUGGGGGAGGCAUAGAGGUUACUAAAGAUGAAAUGGGUCGCCCCAAAAACUUGCCAGCAAGUGCACAAACUCGAUCUAAUUCAUCUUUCAGCCUAGCAUUUUCAAUCCUAAGAUGUUGCUCCUCAAGAGAGAUCUCACCAAUCAUUGCUGGACCACCACAAUUAGUACAAAUUGGAUUUCUCAUUGCCUCUCUUAUAGACAUGUUUUCUGCACGAAGCUUAUCAUUCUCUUGCCUUAGUAUCGAAUUCUCAUGGCGUUCCAGUUGAGUCUUCAUCUGAGUUCUACGAUUUUGGAACCAAAACUUGACU